This is a long non-coding RNA of Lemur catta (Ring-tailed lemur), 1428 nucleotides long. RefSeq lists it as uncharacterized. The record is from RefSeq and is a predicted model, not a curated record. NCBI's taxonomy places the organism in Eukaryota, Metazoa, Chordata, Mammalia, Primates, Lemuridae. The transcript has 4 exons.
CUGAAACUUGGCCUAUUCCAGGAAGCCUAGCCUGUCAUGGAGUCACCUUUGCUCUUACGAAAGUUUAUUUCCAAUAGAUACUUUUUAAAAGCGCCUGUGGAAUGGCUGGCGGGCUGGCGCCGUCUCCCAGCAGGUGUCCCCUCCUCGCUGUUCCUCCAGGAUAGAGCCUGUGACGAACCUCUGAAGACGAACCUCUAAAGACGACACCCACGGCCUGCUCACACGGCCAAGGAGACCCCAGAAGAGGCCCCUGAGGUGGCAGAACAUGCUCAGUGGCUCCAUGAAUCAGUGGGCAAGUGGUGGCUGACAUUCCCUGAGCCCAGUCCCCUGCCUGGGGUCCUGUGUGACAAUCUCCACUCCUGUCCUGUGGUUGGCCAGGGGUCAGCCCACCUGUGCAGAGCAGCCCCCACCGUGAGAAGGGGCCUCGUGCUGCCAGCAGGACAUGGACUCACCGCCAGGUAGGAGCCGCAAGCCCUCUGCGGUGCGACCUCCCCCCACCCCGGCAGACACCCGCCCCGCUCUUCCCGGCAGGGCCCCCUCCUCUCCUUUCGGCUGUUCUAUUAUGCAGUGGCGUGGCCUGGGGGCACAUGUGAUCGUGGCAUAAACACUGGGCCUGAGCCUGCGUGAGCGAGUGGGAAGAACAGACGCUGCAGCCAGGCCAGCGGCCCCUGUCUCCUCCCCCUUGUCCUCCCACCACACACUCAGUCACCACGAAUCCCCUGCAUUUUACUGCACUGGGUCACCCCUGUGACUGUCCCUCCCACCAGUGAGACGGAGGCUGGCGUGCUGGCCCGCCCCACGCUUAGCAAACACGGGACCCGUGAUGUGUAUGGAAGGAAGGAAACCAGAGCCAGACGGAAGUUACAGCAGAAAGACUGACACCUCCGGGAACACCUGCAGUGGAGGGAGAGACCCCGCCUGGAACUGGCUCCACUCUAGGCACAGCAAGAGCAGGGUCAUAAGCCGUCAAUGCCGGCUCUAGCAUGAUUCCUUCUCCUCAUCCUGGUCCCAGAAGCUUGGCGACGUCACCCUGACACCCCAGCCUCCGGGGUUCGUCCCAGAGAACCACGCUCAGGACUGCAGCCUCUCACAGGGUCUGUGUCGCCCGGCUGGCUCCUGGCAAGUCACGGCCCGGCUGGACUGGAGGCUCCACCCCUGCCUGUCUGUGCGUGUUCAAACGCAAUUCACUCACUCUCACCUGCACCCCAGGUGCGUUUGAGAGAGUGUUUAUUUGUGAAGAUGAAAGCUCGCUGACAUCACACUUGGAAGAGUCACGCUGGCGUGAAUGCAGAAGCUGCAGGUACCACCGACACCACGCUGGGGCCAGAGAGGCCCCGGUGUGCAUGUAGGUGGCAGGCUGAGUCCUCAGGUCCGUGGGAUUACUCUAAGUUGCACAGCCUGUGUAUUCACUGCUUCAGAAUAAACUGU